This 497-nucleotide ribosomal RNA is filed under the name uncultured bacterium. Its description in RNAcentral is "partial 16S ribosomal RNA". It matches the Rfam family "Bacterial small subunit ribosomal RNA", at positions 28 to 507 of the family's 1533-position model. The record is from RNAcentral.
GAUGAACGCUGGCGGCGUGCCUAAUACAUGCCAGUCGAGCGAACGGACGAGAAGCUUGCUUCUCUGAUGUUAGCGGCGGACGGGUGAGUAACACGUGGAUAACCUACCUAUAAGACUGGGAUAACUUCGGGAAACCGGAGCUAAUACCGGAUAAUAUUUUGAACCGCAUGGUUCAAAAGUGAAAGACGGUCUUGCUGUCACUUAUAGAUGGAUCCGCGCUGCAUUAGCUAGUUGGUAAGGUAACGGCUUACCAAGGCAACGAUGCAUAGCCGACCUGAGAGGGUGAUCGGCCACACUGGAACUGAGACAGGGUCCAGACUCCUACGGGAGGCAGCAGUAGGGAAUCUUCCGCAAUGGGCGAAAGCCUGACGGAGCAACGCCGCGUGAGUGAUGAAGGUCUUCGGAUCGUAAAACUCUGUUAUUAGGGAAGAACAUAUGUGUAAGUAACUGUGCACAUCUUGACGGUACCUAAUCAGAAAGCCACGGCUAACUACGUG